Molecule: non-coding RNA, 461 nt
Organism: Gossypium raimondii (Peruvian cotton)
Lineage: Eukaryota; Viridiplantae; Streptophyta; Magnoliopsida; Malvales; Malvaceae
Source: Rfam
CUAUGGACUUAAUUAGAUUGAGCCUUGGUAUGGAAACCUACUAAGGGUGGGUUUGGAUGGGCGGUGCGUUUACCUGCGGUUAUUAUAAAAACAGCGGUGGCGGUGAGAUUAGAUACUGUAGCGAUACUGUAGCGUGAGACAAAAAGUAAACUAAACACACCGCACCGCACCCAAUCGCCCAUCCAAACCCACCCUAAGUGAUAACUUUCAAAUUUAGAGAAACCCUGAAAUAAAAAAUGGGCAAUCCUAAGUCAAAUCCUAUUAUUUUAUUAUUUUACAAAAAUAAACAUGAAUAAAGGUUCAACAAGCGAGAAUAAUAAAAAAAGAAAAGGAUAGGUGGAGAGACUCAAUGGAAGCUAUUCUAACAAAUGGGAUUGACUCUUGGUAAAGGAAUUCUUAUAUCGAAUUUUGAAACUCUAGAAAGGAUGCAAGAUAUACCUAUUUUUUAUAGGUAUACUAAU